RNAcentral lists this ribosomal RNA (404 nucleotides) under uncultured bacterium. RNAcentral describes it as "bacterial SSU rRNA". It matches the Rfam family "Bacterial small subunit ribosomal RNA", at positions 32 to 413 of the family's 1533-position model. The record is from RNAcentral.
AAUCAACGCUGGCGGCGUGCCUCAGACAUGCAAGUCGAACGCGAAAGUCCCCUUCGGGGGACAAGUAGAGUGGCGCACGGGUGAGUAACACGUAGGUAAUCUACCUUCGGAUGGGGAAUAACAACCGGAAACGGUUGCUAAUACCGCAUAAUGCAGCGGCACCUAAUGGUGACAGUUGUUAAAGCGGGGGAUCGUUAAGACCUCGCGUCUGAAGAGGAGCCUGCGGCGGAUUAGCUAGUGGUAGGGUAACGGCCUACCAAGGCGACGAUCCGUAGCCGGCCCCUGAGAGGGCGGUCGGCCACACUGACACUGACAUACGGGUCAGACUCCUACGGGAGGCAGCAGUCGGGAAUUUUGGGCAAUGGGCGAAAGCCUGACCCAGCAACGCCGCGUGAAGGAUGAAA